GAUGAACGCUAGCGGCAGGCUUAAUACAUGCAAGUCAAGGGGGUAGCAAUACAACCGGCGCACGGGUGAGUAACGCGUACACAACAUACCAUAUACUGGGGUAUAGCUUUGGGAAACUGAAGGUAAUCCCCCAUAACAUUGCGAGAGGGCAUCUGAUUGCAAUUAAAGUUUCGGCGGUAUAUGAUUGGUGUGCGUUUGAUUAGCUAGUUGGUAGGGUAACGGCCUACCAAGGCGACGAUCAAUAGCUGGCGUGAGAGCGCGACCAGCCACACUGGAACUGAGACACGGUCCAGACUCCUACGGGAGGCAGCAGUAGGGAAUGUUGGACAAUGGGCGGAAGCCUGAUCCAGCCAUGCCGCGUGAAGGAUGAAGGCGCUCAGCGUUGUAAACUUCUUUUGGAUGGGGACAAUAAUCUCGAUUUAUCGGGACUUGAGGGUACCAUCAGAAUAAGCACCGGCUAACUCCGUGCCAGCAGCCGCGGUAAU
RNAcentral lists this ribosomal RNA (485 nucleotides) under uncultured bacterium. Its description in RNAcentral is "bacterial SSU rRNA". It matches the Rfam family "Bacterial small subunit ribosomal RNA", at positions 28 to 524 of the family's 1533-position model. The record is from RNAcentral.